CACGUAGGGGCCAAGCGUUGUCCGGAUUUAUUGGGCGUAAAGAGCUCGUAGGCGGUUCGACAAGUCGGGUGUGAAAACUCCGGGCUCAACCCGGAGACGCCACCCGAUACUGUCGUGACUGGAGUCCGGUAGGGGAGUGGGGAAUUCCUGGUGUAGCGGUGAAAUGCGCAGACAUCAGGAGGAACACCGGUGGCGAAGGCGCCACUCUGGGCCGGUACUGACGCUGAGGAGCGAAAGCGUGGGGAGCGAACAGG
RNAcentral lists this ribosomal RNA (254 nucleotides) under uncultured bacterium. RNAcentral describes it as "partial 16S ribosomal RNA". It matches the Rfam family "Bacterial small subunit ribosomal RNA", at positions 524 to 776 of the family's 1533-position model. The record is from RNAcentral.